This is a long non-coding RNA of Hibiscus syriacus, 184 nucleotides long. RefSeq lists it as uncharacterized. The record is from RefSeq and is a predicted model, not a curated record. The transcript has 3 exons. NCBI's taxonomy places the organism in Eukaryota, Viridiplantae, Streptophyta, Magnoliopsida, Malvales, Malvaceae.
AGAUCACUCGCUUGAGGAUUUUAUGGGACAAUGUGCAUUCAACUCGUAUUUCUUUUGUUGAAUUUGCCAUGGCGGAAAGUGCCAUUGUUGCAUUGAGUUGUAGUGGAUUGGUGCUAGGAACUCAGCCGAUCAGGGUAAGUUCUUCAAAAACACCAGUGAGGUCACGAUUACCCGACCAACAUCG